AGGCGAUAACGUGGCUGUUUUCCACUCCGCCUGUCUGCGUGGUUCCGUGGUGACCUCUGAGCAGACAACAGCACAAAGGCAUCCCGCGGCUCGACGCGAGAGCCCCACAGACCUCCCACACUAGCCCUGUAUCUUUCCUCCUUCCUGGGGAGCUCUGGACCCGGGCUUUGAGAGGGCAAGUGCUCUCACUGGGAGGGGGAACUCUGCCUUCCUCCUGCUGCAGCCACCCAUGGGUGUCUCCCUGGGCUGUGCCCUGGGACAGGACUUCCCUGAGGAGGGAUCCACCCUUUUCUGAAGUCACACCUUGUGAAGAAGUGGAGUCGUGGGGAAGGUUGUGACAAGCGGGCACAGGGCGAUCUAAGGCAGGGUAGGAUCGUCUAGUGACCCCAGCUGAGACCGUGACAUGGUGUGCCAAGUGCUGUACACACAUCACACGGGGAGCUGCAAGCACAGCCAAGGACACCGUACCUCGAAGUAGACUCAUAAACAACCACUGUUUCUUUCACCUGCUUUUACAUUCUUGCAAAUCCAUUGACUCCUGUUAAGAUGCUCCUGACUUUCCUCAACUUUGAACGGGGAUAAGCCGGAGGAAAAUGUUAUUGGCGUCCUCACUUUAUAUGAGAACGGAGCAAGGAAAAGGUAAGCUACUCGUCUAAAGCCGCAGGAGUAAUCUAUGGAAAAGAUGGCAUUGACUCCAGCUACAGUGUAUUAAUUGCAUAGGCCUUUUUUCCUCCUGCCAGAAA
Molecule: long non-coding RNA, 743 nt
Filed under: Anser brachyrhynchus (Pink-footed goose)
Lineage: Eukaryota; Metazoa; Chordata; Aves; Anseriformes; Anatidae
Description: lncRNA (ENSABRG00000009487.1)
Source: RNAcentral